RNAcentral lists this transfer RNA (62 nucleotides) under Marmota marmota marmota (Alpine marmot). It matches the Rfam family "tRNA", at positions 1 to 62 of the family's 71-position model. Rfam says of the family: Transfer RNA (tRNA) molecules are approximately 80 nucleotides in length. Their secondary structure includes four short double-helical elements and three loops (D, anti-codon, and T loops). The record is from Rfam by way of RNAcentral. Lineage: Eukaryota; Metazoa; Chordata; Mammalia; Rodentia; Sciuridae. RNAcentral also lists the same sequence under 4 other names.
GGGGUUGUAGCUCAGUGGUAGAGCUCAUGUCUACAACAUGUGAGACACUGGGUUCAAUCCUA